This 568-nucleotide ribosomal RNA is filed under the name uncultured eukaryote. RNAcentral describes it as "bacterial SSU rRNA". It matches the Rfam family "Eukaryotic small subunit ribosomal RNA", at positions 577 to 1163 of the family's 1831-position model. The record is from RNAcentral.
CGGUAAUUCCAGCUCCAAUAGCGUAUAUUAAAGUUGUUGCUGUUAAAAAGCUCGUAGUUGAACUUCUGACAGCGAGCAGGUUUGGCUUUGGCCAGCCUGUUCGUUGUCAUCCGUCUGCAAACCUUGUACGUCCUUCAGUGGUUCGGCAAGGGGAGUAGACAAUUUACUUUGAAAAAAUUAGAGUGUUCAAAGCAGGUAUUAGCCUGAAUACUUUAGCAUGGAAUAAUGGAAUACGACUCUUGUCUAUUUAUGUUGGUUAUUAGACUUGAGUAAUGAUUAAUAGGGACAGUUGAAGGCAUUAGUACUUAAUUGUCAGAGGUGAAAUUCAUGGAUUUAUUAAAGACUAACUAAUGCGAAAGCAUUUGCCAAGGAUGUUUUCAUUAAUCAAGAACGAAAGUUCGAGGAUAGACAGCGAUCAGACACCACUUUAUUUCGAACUAUAAACUAUACCGAUUUGAGAUAGCCAAUUUUAAUCGAAUAAUUGGCUGCAUCACAUGAGAAAUCCAAAUCUUUGGGUUCUGGGGGGAGUAUGGUCGCAAGAUUGAAACUUAAAGGAAUUGACGGAACG